RNAcentral lists this ribosomal RNA (442 nucleotides) under uncultured Kofleria sp. RNAcentral's name for it is "bacterial SSU rRNA". It matches the Rfam family "Bacterial small subunit ribosomal RNA", at positions 103 to 523 of the family's 1533-position model. Lineage: Bacteria; Pseudomonadati; Myxococcota; Haliangiales; Kofleriaceae. The record is from RNAcentral.
CGGGUGAGUAACACGUGGGUAAUGUACCUAUCGCGGGGGAUAACAAUCCGAAAGGAUUGCUAAUACCGCAUACGCCAGUUGGAGCUCCGGCUCCGAUUGAGAAAGGUGGCCUCUCAGCGAAGCUACCACCGAUAGAUCAGCCCGCGUCCCAUCAGCUAGUUGGUGAGGUAAUGGCUCACCAAGGCUUAGACGGGUAGCUGGUCUGAGAGGAUGAUCAGCCACACUGGGACUGAGACACGGCCCAGACUCCUACGGGAGGCAGCAGUGGGGAAUAUUGGGCAAUGGGCGCAAGCCUGACCCAGCCACGCCGCGUGAGUGAUGAAGGCUUUCGGGUCGUAAAGCUCUGUGGGGAGGGACGAAACAGUUGCUGGCUAAUAUCCAGCGACCCUGACGGUACCUCCUUAGCAAGCACCGGCUAACUCCGUGCCAGCAGCCGCGGUAA